CCAAGAGCACCUUAACGGUCGCAUUGCAACGUUUGUGUGUUGAUCGGCAUUAGUGGGUAACGUGCAUCCCCAUGCAGUAAUUAUUUUUUGGGCAGGACAUCGCCUGUACAUAUAUUUUGUGAUAUUUGGGCGUAAUAAUAAUUGUUAGGGUUUAACGUUGUACAACCAAGCUAUGAUUACGAGGGACGCCGUAGUGGAGGGCUUCUGAAAUUUCAACCACCUGGGGUUCUUUACCGUGUACCUAAAUGUAAAUACACGUGCCUGAAGCGUUUUCGUCUCCAUCGAAAAUGCGGCUGCCGCGGCCGGGAUUCGAUCCCGAGCCCUUUGGGUUAACAGUCGAGCACCACAACCACUAGACCGCCGUGGCGGGUUAUUUAAGCGCUUCCUGGUCGCCAUUCGUUUUCCUAAGCACUUUGCUGAUAUUAUCAACUACUUUACUGUUCAAAAGCGCGCGUUUCUAUUGCAAACUAAAAUGCCGUUCUAGACUGUUCGAUUUACAACAGCCUCUUGCAGCUUCCCUAUCCCUACACGUGAUAGGGAAGCUGCAAGAGGCUGUUGAACUGAUAAUUGGGUGACGUGGCACGGAUUAAUAAAUAAUAUGAAAGCGGCGUCACGGAGUAAGACGGCAAGACUCCAAUACACACGAACAAAAUCUUCAAUGGGCCAAGAAGAAUUGAUCAGGGGCUCAUUUUCUUUGUUAUGAACAACCUAAUGAAAGCGACAGACAAUGAAGCGGAUGAAAAUAUACGGGCAUUAGUUGUAGUCUUCAACUUUAAUGUGGUAAUUGUAAUUACAAUGUAAAGAAAUUAUAGUUUACCAAAAGAUAACUUGCCGCCGGUAUUGACCGAAAGUACAACCUUCGGAUAACGCGUGCGAGGCUCUACCUAUUGAGCUACAGCGACGGUCUUCCUCCCAUGUACAUUAUUGCGUAUUCCUGCGAAUGUCAACAUUUUAGCGCAUGCCGCUCGUAGCCUUGAUUUUGGGCGUGGAAAACUCUUUUUUGCCAGCUCACGUCACAUAGAACGUGGUCUUUAUACGAGCAGGCAGCUGUCCAACAGUCCCUCCCAUACCACCUGGAGGCUUCCAGUUUGCCGGAACGAGCACACAAACAUGUGUCUUUAGUUUUGUCGUCUAAAUCCGCCGGGCCCUUUUUAUAAUAGUGAUACCGCAUUCCACCGUAAGGAAGUGCUAUGAAGUAAAUGAACUAUACGUGAUUCUACUAUAGGGUAAAACACUUGACACGCAAGUGUGAUCAAUUAGUGGACGCUUCACUGCCUAAAGUCAAUAUAUAGAAUGAUCAACCUGUGGAAAGCGGCAAGAACGCUCUUGAUGAGGACACGUCACGAAAAAACAGAUAUUUUGCGCAUCACUGUUCUCAUUUAUGGUGCCCAUGGUAUAAUUAAGAUUUUUUUUCAGCGACUAAAUGCAUAGUAAUUAUUGGUCGUCCUUUGCUUUCCAGGUAAUGCAAAAGCCACAUCAUAAAGGCGUACGUAUUCACAGCUGCGCAGUUCGCAGCGUUGGUCAGGAUUGCGAUGCGAAAGCACAAUGUAUAAUGUGGACGUGCUGCCUGAGAAGUCUCACAGCAACCGCAUGUUACCAAAGAGCACGAGUUGGUGGAAGAUGCUCAAGCUAUAACAUCAGUGGAAUAUACAACUCUAAUUGCCCUUGUGCACCAGGUCAUGAUAGCCACUGCUCUGAAGUCGCUUAAUUUGGGUUGCCACGCUUUCUUCUACCCUGUGGUGGCAUGAUUUCGCAAGGGCUUGCUUCAGGCACGUGGUUGCGAUUCCUCUUUUAAUUAUUUUUGAAUGCCCCGAAUCGAAAGGAAGAAGCCCUUUCUCACCCCGCACUUUGUACGACCAACAGGAACGUGUAUCAUGGGAAGAUGCGUAUUACAAAACACCGGUAGACACAACUUUCGACAACGAUUAUAGUUACUUCAAAAUAGGUUUAAACGAAAUGCAUCACCCAAGCGUAGGUGAAAUAAAAACAAAUUAUUACGGUUUAUAUAACAUGGAGCACAACGCCAAUAAAUAUGUGGGUUUCUUUUUAAA
This is a long non-coding RNA of Rhipicephalus sanguineus (brown dog tick), 2051 nucleotides long. RefSeq lists it as uncharacterized. Lineage: Eukaryota; Metazoa; Arthropoda; Arachnida; Ixodida; Ixodidae. The transcript is spliced from 4 exons. The record is from RefSeq and is a predicted model, not a curated record.